Non-coding RNA from Pseudomonas oryzihabitans, 356 nucleotides. It matches the Rfam family "Bacterial RNase P class A". Rfam says of the family: Ribonuclease P (RNase P) is a ubiquitous endoribonuclease, found in archaea, bacteria and eukarya as well as chloroplasts and mitochondria. Lineage: Bacteria; Pseudomonadati; Pseudomonadota; Gammaproteobacteria; Pseudomonadales; Pseudomonadaceae. The record is from Rfam.
AGAGCCGACCGGGCAGUCGCUGUCGUGACCCGCAAGGGUUGCGAGGGAGGAAAGUCCGGGCUCCAUAGGGCGAGGUGCCAGGUAACGCCUGGGAGGCGUGAGCCUACGGAAAGUGCCACAGAAAAUAACCGCCUAAGCGCGCAAGCGCCGGUAAGGGUGAAAAGGUGCGGUAAGAGCGCACCGCACGGCUGGCAACAGUUCGUGGCUAGGUAAACCCCACCUGGAGCAAGACCAAAUAGGAAUCCAUAGGCGUGGCCCGCGCUGGAUUCGGGUAGGUCGCUAGAGGCAAUCAGCGAUGGUUGUCCCAGAGGAAUGACUGUCCUCGACAGAACCCGGCUUACAGGUCGGCUCUCGCA